Molecule: ribosomal RNA, 312 nt
Filed under: uncultured Glomus
Lineage: Eukaryota; Fungi; Glomeromycota; Glomeromycetes; Glomerales; Glomeraceae
Description: SSU rRNA
Rfam family: Eukaryotic small subunit ribosomal RNA
Source: RNAcentral
AGCAGCCGCGGUAAUUCCAGCUCCAAUAGCGUAUAUUAAAGUUGUUGCAGUUAAAAAGCUCGUAGUUGAAUUUCGGGAUCAGUAUGUCGGUCGUGCUUCGGUACGUACUGUCAUUACUGGUUUCUCCCUUCUGAAGAACCAUGAUGUCAUUAAUUUGAUGUCUUGGGAAAUCAGGACUGUUACUUUGAAAAAAUUAGAGUGUUUAAAGCAGGCAUACGCUUGAAUACAUUAGCAUGGAAUAAUGAAAUAGGACGUUUGAUUCUAUUUUGUUGGUUUCUAGGAUCGACGUAAUGAUUAAUAGGGAUAGUUGGG